CAGCAGCCGCGGGAAAACAGAGGGUGCGAGCGUUAAUCGGAUUUACUGGGCGUAAAGCGUGCGUAGGCGGCUUUUUAAGUCGGAUGUGAAAUCCCUGAGCUUAACUUAGGAAUUGCAUUCGAUACUGGGAAGCUAGAGUAUGGGAGAGGAUGGUAGAAUUCCAGGUGUAGCGGUGAAAUGCGUAGAGAUCUGGAGGAAUACCGAUGGCGAAGGCAGCCAUCUGGCCUAAUACUGACGCUGAGGUACGAAAGCAUGGGGAGCAAACAGGAUUAGAGACCCCGGUAGUCCCUGUCUCUUAUAA
This 301-nucleotide ribosomal RNA is filed under the name uncultured bacterium. RNAcentral describes it as "partial 16S ribosomal RNA". It matches the Rfam family "Bacterial small subunit ribosomal RNA", at positions 509 to 809 of the family's 1533-position model. The record is from RNAcentral.